AUAUUCUGGAGCAGCUCAUGGGCCUAGCAUUUCACGGACCAUAUUUUGGGCAGUGCUGCUACAGCAGAAAGGAAAUGGGUGACCUCUUCCUUGCUGGUAAUAGUAAGGUUGUCUGAGAGAAGAAAGGUUUGAAGGGGGGCCCAAACACCAAACUGCUUUUGAGUCAUUCCUGGGGAAGGUCAAGGUCUAUAGUGUGCCUUGUUUCACUUUAGAGUCAACAUCUCGCUAUUUGGGGGGAACGGACUUUAGAACAGAAAAAAAUAGCUGCUUGGGAGAAAGAGUUUCACUGCUAUGAGAUGUCAAGUCCCUAAAGUUAAAUGUUACUGAUGGAAGAAUACAGCUGAAGAAGAGCUCUUGGCUUGACUGAGUAGCUGAUCUCUUUACAAGAAGGGAUACAAGCCCUGCAGUGGAACUCACUGCUGAUCCUUCAGACUUGUCUUUCUAGGUUUAUCCUGCAGACCUUAUCACUGCAUAGCAGUAGUUCACGCUAACAUACAACUGCACAUGUCUGCUCUCAGAAAGCCUUUCACCUGGCCAAAGACAAGGCAACCAUGCUCCCCAAAGACGCUCGCCCACCUUUACUACAAAAUUGGUUCUCUGUGUAGCAUAUUAAUGCCUGCCACAAGGGUGCUAUCAACCAGAAUCUUCAGUGAAUCUUCUUUGUCUGAAUUGCACAUAUCUCAGAGGAGAAUAGAGAAUGUGUAAGGACACCGUGGCCCAUGCAUUGACACUGUCAUAGAUAAAGCAUAGUUACUCGCUAUCAGUUCUACCCACAGCCAAAGUCCAGGUUCCACCUCCUUUAGCAAGCCUUCUCGAAGGACUCCAUGCCUCACUGAUCUUCCUCCUCACUGAACGCCACAGACCAAGAACCCAUAAUGUCCUCCUCAGGAACCAGCACAGUCCCAAAGUCCACAGAACUCAAAAGAACGCUGGUAGAUUGAUUUGCUCUACCAUCAUCUCAACAGUGCUUUCCUCGGGUGUAGCAUGAUGCAUUUUAACACAAUUAAAAUGACAUGUUAGAAAUGUUGCUGAUGGGGUUGCUGGGGCAAUGACUUCUUUCAAAGUCUUCCCUCUAUUUACUGCACUCAUGGAAGUGAGUCUCAUGGGAAGCUAUGUCUUAGCUGAAAGCCUGUCUUCAAAGUCCUUUGGCAAGGAAGUUUUCUGUUAUGAAUAAAUUAGUAUCACAAGUAACUUUUUCAAGUGUUUUUCCAUACAAUUGACACUUCUAAUAAUGAAAAAGAAUCAAGCUUCUGACUCUGCACACAGUGGCAAAUAUUGGCAUGUGUAAUCUGGGGCCUGUUGGGUGAAGAUCCUUAAGUUACCACAACCUAUUGGUAGAGUGUCUCUAAAUUUUGGAUGUAGCCAGUCCCAAACUGACUUGUAAAAGUGUCAGCUUGGACAGUGUUUCACAAACUGGGAUUGGAGAAAGACCACAGUUCUGAAAGAUGCUGCUCGGUAUUGCUCAGUGCUACUAGAUGGACUUGGUGUUGAGAGCAUGAG
This 1500-nucleotide long non-coding RNA is filed under the name Homo sapiens (human). Its description in RNAcentral is "non-protein coding lnc-PEX7-1:6". Lineage: Eukaryota; Metazoa; Chordata; Mammalia; Primates; Hominidae. The record is from RNAcentral.